GAUAUUUCAACAUGGUACAAAGAUAUACCAUCAAUAUGAUCACUCCCGAUACUAAAGAUUGGACCUGUAAAGUCCAAGUUGUUGAUAAAAGUCGACCAAGGGACAACAAAGAUAAAACCACAAAAUACCAAGUCUUAGUUCUGCAAGAUGAAGAGGAGAAUCAAGUUCAGGCCACUAUUUUCAGUACCGAUAUAACAUAUUUUGAAAAAGAAUUUGCUCCUUUCAAGACUUACUUGGUAUCUGUUGCACAUGUGAAAUUACC
This is a long non-coding RNA of Solanum stenotomum, 262 nucleotides long. RefSeq lists it as uncharacterized. NCBI's taxonomy places the organism in Eukaryota, Viridiplantae, Streptophyta, Magnoliopsida, Solanales, Solanaceae. The transcript is spliced from 2 exons. The record is from RefSeq and is a predicted model, not a curated record.